Molecule: ribosomal RNA, 562 nt
Filed under: uncultured bacterium
Lineage: Bacteria
Description: partial 16S ribosomal RNA
Rfam family: Bacterial small subunit ribosomal RNA
Source: RNAcentral
UGGGGGAAUUUUGGACAAUGGGGGAAACCCUGAUCCAGCCAUCCCGCGUGUGCGAUGAAGGCCUUCGGGUUGUAAAGCACUUUUGGCAGGAAAGAAACGUCGCGGGUUAAUACCCCGCGAAACUGACGGUACCUGCAGAAUAAGCACCGGCUAACUACGUGCCAGCAGCCGCGGUAAUACGUAGGGUGCAAGCGUUAAUCGGAAUUACUGGGCGUAAAGCGUGCGCAGGCGGUUCGGAAAGAAAGAUGUGAAAUCCCAGAGCUUAACUUUGGAACUGCAUUUUUAACUACCGGGCUAGAGUGUGUCAGAGGGAGGUGGAAUUCCGCGUGUAGCAGUGAAAUGCGUAGAUAUGCGGAGGAACACCGAUGGCGAAGGCAGCCUCCUGGGAUAACACUGACGCUCAUGCACGAAAGCGUGGGGAGCAAACAGGAUUAGAUACCCUGGUAGUCCACGCCCUAAACGAUGUCAACUAGCUGUUGGGGCCUUCGGGCCUUGGUAGCGCAGCUAACGCGUGAAGUUGACCGCCUGGGGAGUACGGUCGCAAGAUUAAAACUCAAAUGAA